GAUGAACGCUGGCGGCGUGCCUAAUACAUGCAAGUCGAGCGAACAGACGAGGAGCUUGCUCCUCUGACGUUAGCGGCGGACGGGUGAGUAACACGUGGAUAACCUACCUAUAAGACUGGGAUAACUUCGGGAAACCGGAGCUAAUACCGGAUAAUAUAUUGAACCGCAUGGUUCAAUAGUGAAAGACGGUUUGCUGUCACUUAUAGGUGGAUCCGCGCCCCCUUAGCUAGUUGGUAAGGUAAAGGCUUACCAAGGCAAAGAUGCGUAGCCGACCUGAGGGGGUGACCGGCCAAACUGGAACUAGAACACGGGCCAGACUCCUACGGGGGGGAGGAGGAGGGAAACUUCCGCAAUGGGCGAAAGCCUGACGGAGCAACGCCGCGUGAGUGAUGAAGGUCUUCGGAUCUUAAAACUCUGUUAUUAGGGAAGAACAAAUGUGUAAGUAACUAUGCACGUCUUGACGGUACCUAAUCAGAAAGCCACGGCUAACUACGUG
Molecule: ribosomal RNA, 496 nt
Filed under: uncultured bacterium
Lineage: Bacteria
Description: partial 16S ribosomal RNA
Rfam family: Bacterial small subunit ribosomal RNA
Source: RNAcentral